This 200-nucleotide long non-coding RNA is filed under the name Lathyrus oleraceus (garden pea). RNAcentral's name for it is "Pisum sativum (pea) long non-coding RNA (PSAT_LNC024159)". The record is from RNAcentral. Lineage: Eukaryota; Viridiplantae; Streptophyta; Magnoliopsida; Fabales; Fabaceae.
ACCCUUCCAGUUCUAUCUCUUCUCCGCUAAAGAGUAUGUGGUCCACGAGACUGUUAAAUCCUUCUACAACGAGAGCCAAUAGGGACUACUCUACCCACUCUAAUCUCCGGAUGACUGUCUCCGUCAUAUCCCCCACUUCUACCAUAGCUAUAUGCAACUACCCUCUCACUCAAUCUAGGAAUAAUCUUGUCAUCUCUCAC